Molecule: long non-coding RNA, 1154 nt
Organism: Drosophila willistoni
Lineage: Eukaryota; Metazoa; Arthropoda; Insecta; Diptera; Drosophilidae
Exons: 3
Source: RefSeq, a predicted model, not a curated record
UCUUUCUUUCUUUUUUUUUAUUUUUUUUUUUGUUGGUAUCACACAAUGCGAUGCGGAAAAAGAUGAGGCUAAAUCGCGCGCCGCUCGCUUGAUUGAAAACACACAGAGAGUACCAACAACGAAUGCAAAGGCUAUUGAAUUGAAUUGCCGUCUCUGGUCAGUGUUGCCCAAAACGGCAAACGGCUUAUUUUCGGCCAGAUCUGGCUUAUUUUCAAGAGCGAUUGCGGAUAAAAUUGGGAAAUUGCGGAUAGCGGAAAAUCUGGCUUAUUUAAGAAUCGCAAGAUAAGAAUUUGCAAGAUAUGCAAAAAGUUAACAAAUGCUUCCAAAGCAAUACUUCAAAUCCAUCGAAAUUGUUAAACGAGCUAAUAUUUGCCAUCAAUUCACUAAAAAUCUACAUAAUAGCUCCAGAUAAAAGUGUAGAUUGUAUAAACGAUGAUGGAUUUGAAAAGUAUGUGACUAGAGACUUGUAUCUUGGAUAUGCUUUUGAAAAACAUAUCAAAUCUGUGAGUAUAUCCAAUGAUGAGGAAAAGUCGAUCCGAGAAAGUUGCACGAAUUUCGUAGUUGAUCUUGUUAAGCAACUAAAGCAGAGGUUACCCGACAAUUUUAAAAUCUUAAAACAAGCCGAUGCUUUUGCAGUAGAAAAUAUUUUAAAAACUAAAAAAAAAAACAUCAUUCCGAUUUUGGAGUUUUUUGGAAUUCCCAAUAUUGACGAAAUUGAACGUCAAUACAAUGAAUUGACACUUAUCUCUUGGGAAAAUACUGAGGACACAAUUAAAUUUUGGGUUGAAGUAUUGAAUUACAGAGACUCGGGCGGAAACAACCGGUUUUCUAAGCUGAGUUCUGUUGCGCUUGAAAUACAUUCUUUACCUUGGUCGAACGCCGAAGUGGAAAGGGUUUUUAGCCAAGUUAAUUUAAUAAAAAAUAAAAUAAGAAAUAGGAUGAACGUUGACACGUUAAAUUCAAUAUUAACCAUAAGAUCCGGAUUGAGCCGACACAACAAAUGUUGCUUUGAUUACAAAGUUUCUUCAAUCUGCCUGAAGUCUAUAGAAAAUGUGGAACAAUUAGAUAAUGAGCCCGAACAGUCUGUAGACAAUCUAAUAGCAGGUUUAAUGUCAUUUAAAUGAACUUUAUAAGUUUAAAUUUCUUUUGUUUUC